Molecule: long non-coding RNA, 2673 nt
Organism: Cyprinus carpio (common carp)
Lineage: Eukaryota; Metazoa; Chordata; Actinopteri; Cypriniformes; Cyprinidae
Source: Ensembl
AUGUGGAAAUGUAAAUUGUGUGUUUUUUCUAGUGCCUUAAAAAUACAGUUAUUGAGACAUUACAGACUCUAUCAUGGCCAGUAUUCCACAAUUUCACCAUUACCUUGCCUGUAUAACAACUGCAUGUGUACAUUUAGCACUUAUAACUCAUUGAAGGUACAUUUGUCAAGAGUACAUUUGGAGAAAAGACUGGUAGGCAGAGACAACAGUGAUUUGACUUUAAAUCUGGCAUUUCAUUGCCCUGUGUGUGAUUUUAAGCAGCCAUUUGUUGAGAGUGACAUGUUUAUUCAUCUAAGGGGGCAUCUAAGACGGAAAGAAACCGUGCCAUGUCCAUUUAGGGCCUGCAAGUUUCAAACAAAUGUUUACUCAACAUACAAUUCACACAAGUGCAGAGAACACCAACAUGCAUCAGACUAUGAUGUGGCAGUUGUAGUGCAAAAUGUCUCGAAUGUUUCCCAGGAUGACACUGAACAUGAUCAGGAAGAGCUUUCAGAUGAAAAUGAAACUGCCUCAGCCCCGGUAGCAGGCAGUAGUGAUGAAGGAUUAACAGAGCAGUUACAGUACAAUCUGGCUGCCUUCUUCUUGAAAAUGCAGACUAUUCUCCAUGUAUCCACAAGAGCAACACAGGAAAUCAUUGAGCAUAUUGAUCAAUUGUUUUCACUGUCAGAACCAGUUUUCAGAGAAUCUCUAAUCAAAAUACUGGAAAAACAUAACUGCCCCAUUACUGACACACUUGUUAGUGAGAUUGUCCAGGCAGUUUCAGAGAGUAAUAUUUUGUAUACAUCUGUUACCUCUGAAGGACCACUGUCAACAGCAAAGCGGAGAAAGUCAUAUUAUGAGGAUAAGUUUCCAUUUGCCAAGCCUGUAGAGUACCUUAUUGAGUCGUCACAGCGUACAUUUAUGUAUGUGCCCAUUCUCACAUCUUUGCAGUUGUUGUUGAAAAAAACAGACGUACUUGAGAAAGUCCAAGAAACCACCUCACAGUUGCCUGGACAGUAUUCGUCUUACUGUGAUGGCUCCUACUUCCAGGAAAAUGAGCUUCUCUCAGAUGAGGGUCCAAAAUUGUCAAUUAUUCUUUAUGUUGAUGAUUUUGAAAUUGCAAACCCUCUAGGAACAUCAAAAAAAAUACACAAAGUAUGUGCAGUUUAUUGGACAUUAGCUAACCUCCCAGUAAAGUAUCGCUCAGCACUCCAAUCUACUCAGUUGACUCUUUUGUGCAACUCAAAUGAUGUACGGCAGUUUGGGUAUGAAAAGGUUUUUGCGCCUCUCUUGAGUGACCUAAAAGCUCUUGAAAAUGAGGGUGUUUACAUUGAGACAUUUGGUCACUGUCUCAAAGGCACAGUGUACUCUGUUGUGGCUGAUAACCUGGCUGCCCAUGGGCUAGCUGGUUUCAGUGAGAGUUUUAGGGCUACAUAUUUUUGCAGAUUUUGUCUUGCCACCCAGACAGAUAUGCAAACAUCAAAUGCAAUCACUGGUAGUUUUGAGAUGAGAACCAAAAAUAUGCAUGAUCACCUUGUUCAAAAAAUGCAGAACAGUGACAGUGAAGAGAACUGCGGUGUAAAACAAAGUUGUGUUCUUUCUGAUCAUCUCUCUUAUUUUCAUCCUAUCACAGGAUUUCCACCUGACAUCCUUCAUGACCUGUUUGAAGGUGUGGUUCCUGUUGAGUUGGCACAUUCUUUGAAGGGUUUGAUUGCAAGAAAGUAUUUCACUUUGGAAGAGCUGAAUAGGGCAAUACUGUCAUUUCCCUUCCAACAUUCUGAUAAGGUUAACCGCCCUCACCCAAUUCCUCAGAGUUUUGCCACUCGAGGGACAAUCGGCGGGAAUGGGCAUGAGAACCACGCUCUGCUUAGACUGCUACCUGUUCUCAUUGGCUCCAGAGUCCCUGAAGGAGACAAAUUCUGGGAGGUGCUAAUGGAAUUAAAAGAUAUAGUUGAACUUGCCAUGUCUCAUACGUACACAGAUGAUACCAUUCAGUACAUGGCCUGUAAGAUUUCAGAUCACAGGCAGCUGCUUCAGGAAGUAUUGCCCAGCUUACGAUUACGGCCAAAGCAUCAUUACAUUGAGCAUUAUCCUCAUCUCAUAAAGUGCUUUGGUCCUCUGGUGCAUCUGUGGACAAUGAGAUUUGAGGGGAAGCACAAAGUCUUCAAGGCAGUUGCUCGUUGCUCUCAUAACUACAAAAAUGUGUUGAAAACUAUGGCAGAGAGACACCAAAACAUGAUGGCAUUCUAUUUGUCAUCACCAAGAUUUUUCAAGCCACCAGUGCAGACUUCAAAAGUGGAGUCUGUCUAUGUUGAGUCAUUGCCUACUGAUACACAUGCGUUAAUAUCGAGCAUCACAGACAGCAGCAGUGUAUAUGGCACAAAACAGGUUACCAUUGAAGGCACAACUUUUGUGGCUGGGAUGUUUGUUUGCACUGGGACACAUGCUGCCUUGCCUGUGUUUAAAGAGAUCAGAAACAUAUUACUUAUCAGAAAUGACAUCUUCUUUGUACUGAAAGACUAUGAGACCUGGUAUGUUGAGCAUUUGCGGUCAUAUGAGCUAACAGAUCAUAAAAGCAAGGGCCAUACAGUGAAAUCUGUAUGUCAGCUAACUGACCGAAUGCCACUGUUUGCCUACAGGGUUUCAAGCAAGCUAAUUCUGACAACUAAACAUUUCAUUCCUGUGUCAGAGUAA